ACCCUCUCACUCCCAGGUCCGUGCUCUAUCCCACUACACCAUGCUGCUUCUCCUGAGCAAACUGUGAAUUACUGUGAAUUACUGAAUGUUCUGUAGCCCUCAUUCUCAGGCUCCCAAAUUGGAAUGAAAAUAAGUUCUACUCAUAACAAUAGAAUCACUGCUCCACAUAUAGACAUCCUCUUCUACAGAAAGCAGAGAACUUGGAUGGGUUUAUUCUUUAGAAAGAAUUGUAAAGGCAAAUAUAAUUGUAAAUUGAAUUUGGAGCAAUUUAGAUGGGAUCCUACAUUUCUGCUAUCCACAUUUGUUCCUUGGGAAUUUAGGUUUGCAAUUUCAUUGAGUUGUUUUUCAUUAAAGCUAGACUGCCCAAAAUUUAAUCUAUGUGUCUUCCUAUUUUGUCUUUGCUUACUUCAGGAGCAUAACCCAAAUUUAGAGAAAACAAAGAGAUGGAAUCUGUGGAAUGAAGACAAGCAAAUUCAUUUUCAUUUUCACAAAUGAAAACCAGUGCAGCUGCCAUAUUUGUCUCUUUAUAGUCUCCCCUUCUCUUUUCUUGAAAAGCUUUAUGUUGUCUCUUGCUAUUUUAUUCAAUUGUUCAUUCGUUUCAAUUAUUAAUCAUUUCAUUUGCCUUCCUCAACUUAUAGAUGCUUCCAUUACUUCCUUUCUUGGUCCAUUUUCCCCUCUCAGCUUCUUAUUCACCUCUUAAAAACCACCUGAUGAAAUUGGAGGGGCAAUUGCCUUCUACUGUUCAUCUGAUACUGCAUGUUCAAGAGGUGUGACAAGAGGAACUUGACAAAGAAUACAGAGGGACCUUUUGUCACAGCUACCCACUUCUGGAAUGGUAACUCUAAAACGUCAAACUGAAUUUGAUUCUGAGAAGCCCUUGGAUCCAAGAUUUUCAAAAUUGAGGAGGAAGCUCAGCUCAUCUGACCACCUAGCAAAUGACACUUUCUCAGACCUAUAGCACAGAGAAGGAACUUGGAGAAGAGUUGCAUUGUUUGGAGUGGGAGUUAAGAACAAAAGAUGCAUCUUCUUUACCAGGCUUAAGUAGGCACAAAACCUAAUGGAGCUCAGUCUUGAACGACGUGGCAUGGCAGACGACUACUAGAAGCCAACAACAGAAAAUCUACCAUCAUCAUCAAAAUCUUCCCAGACUGCAGCUGGACUGCUCAGCCCAUCUCAUGGCUCUCAGGGCUCUCAGCAACUUCCUCUACCCAACCACUUCACCACCUCCUUGGGAUCCCACCCUGGUUCUAGUCUGCAUCACCAAGGCCCGCCUCCAUUCGGCCUGCUCUGAGAGAAUGUGGAUGAAUGUCCAGUGGGACAGAGAAAAAUACUUCAGCCUGGCACCACCUCCACAAAAACUCAAGAAGGCUAUGACAGCUGGUGUGGUACUGAACUAUCUUUGGGUCUUUCUGUCAUCUUGGUGUUUCAUUCUUCCGCCCUCAUGUGUCUGUCAUCAGCCUCCUUUCCCUUUGUAUUUUUACAUUCUGAGCUCCUCAAGGACACUGACCUUGUUAAUUCCUGUGUAUUCUUUCUCAGCACUUAGUUCAUUGCUCUGCAAACUUUAAGUGCUUAGUAACUUAAUAAUA
Long non-coding RNA from Ornithorhynchus anatinus (platypus), 1586 nucleotides. RefSeq lists it as uncharacterized. The record is from RefSeq and is a predicted model, not a curated record. Lineage: Eukaryota; Metazoa; Chordata; Mammalia; Monotremata; Ornithorhynchidae. The transcript has 3 exons.